CUCCAAGGAGAUGGCAAGGGAGCUUAUGUCUCUCAAACACAAGAACUUUGUUGGACUUGAACCUAGGCCUCCUGGCUCACAGAGACAUUUUCAGCAGGAGGCGGCUCCAACGGGGUCUGGAGCGGCAGCGGCGCCUUCCGAGGCAGCGCGGCUACAGAAUCAGCCUCUCAGCCUGUGAGGCCUGGAGCAGGAUUCCACGUGGAGUGGGCAUUGCGUGGUCUGGGAAGGCCGGAGCAGGAUAGUGGCGGCGGCAUGACGCGGUCUGGGAAGGCCGGAGCUGAACACUGGCGGCAUGGCGCAGUCUGGGAAGGCUGGAGUGGGACACUGGCAGCAUGGCGCGGUCUGAGAAGGCCGGAGAAGAACAUUGGCGGUGGCAAUGACGUGGUCUGGGAAGGCCGGAGUGGAACAUUGGUGGCGUGACGCAGUCUGGGAAGGCCGGAGUGGGACACUGGUGGCGUGACGCAGUCUGGGAAGGCCAGAGUAGGACAUUGCUGGCAUGCUGUAGCAGCAGAGAAGAAAAAGUUGGAUUCCAUUUUGAGUUUUUUAAAAUUUUAUUUGAAGUUAAUGUGAAUGGCAUCUAUGUACGGGCAAUGG
Long non-coding RNA from Rhincodon typus (whale shark), 594 nucleotides. RefSeq lists it as uncharacterized. NCBI's taxonomy places the organism in Eukaryota, Metazoa, Chordata, Chondrichthyes, Orectolobiformes, Rhincodontidae. The record is from RefSeq and is a predicted model, not a curated record. The transcript has 3 exons.